RNAcentral lists this ribosomal RNA (253 nucleotides) under uncultured bacterium. RNAcentral's name for it is "partial 16S ribosomal RNA". It matches the Rfam family "Bacterial small subunit ribosomal RNA", at positions 524 to 776 of the family's 1533-position model. The record is from RNAcentral.
UACGGAGGGUGCAAGCGUUAUCCGGAUUUACUGGGUUUAAAGGGUGCGUAGGUGGGUAGGUAAGUCAGUGGUGAAAUCUUCGAGCUUAACUCGGAAACUGCCAUUGAUACUAUUUAUCUUGAAUACUCUGGAGGUAAGCGGAAUAUGUCAUGUAGCGGUGAAAUGCUUAGAUAUGACAUAGAACACCAAUUGCGAAGGCAGCUGACUACAUAGUUAUUGACACUGAGGCACGAAAGCGUGGGGAUCAAACAGG